UUUUUCUUGAUUUUAUUAUUAGAGGUUAAACUGAUAAUACAAUAACUAACAUUUACCCAGGUUACAAUAAAAGUUUAUCAUUUUUCAAAGUCACCAAGGUUAAGGUGCAUGCCUUGAUGAAAUGAGUAUAGGUCAGCCGCCUUCUGUUUUUGGACCCUUUCCACAAAUUAUUCUAGACUAACUGUCAGGCCCCGUGCAGUUACAGUUCAAAUCAAAGACUUGGGAAAUGGCAAGCGGCCUGACAUGAUACAGAGCAAAUAAACUGAGUACAUACAACAUUUUUCCCAACCAGGUGCAUUCCCACAUUUCAGUCCUAAAAAAAUUCUGAUAUGUAGGCAUUCUCAUUACUUAGUGAGAUUUUAGAAAAGACCUUUUAGCCCAU
RNAcentral lists this long non-coding RNA (382 nucleotides) under Bos taurus (domestic cattle). RNAcentral's name for it is "long non-coding RNA NONBTAT022377". The record is from RNAcentral. Lineage: Eukaryota; Metazoa; Chordata; Mammalia; Artiodactyla; Bovidae.